UACGUAGGGGGCAAGCGUUGUCCGGAAUUAUUGGGCGUAAAGAGCGCGUAGGCGGUCCGGUAAGUCGGUUGUGAAAGUCGGGGGCUCAACCCUCGGAUACCGAUCGAUACUGUCGGGCUAGAGUCCGGAAGAGGCGAGUGGAAUUCCUGGUGUAGCGGUGAAAUGCGCAGAUAUCAGGAGGAACACCAAUGGCGAAGGCAGCUCGCUGGGACGGUACUGACGCUGAGGCGCGAAAGCGUGGGGAGCAAACAGG
RNAcentral lists this ribosomal RNA (253 nucleotides) under uncultured bacterium. RNAcentral describes it as "partial 16S ribosomal RNA". It matches the Rfam family "Bacterial small subunit ribosomal RNA", at positions 524 to 776 of the family's 1533-position model. The record is from RNAcentral.